RNAcentral lists this ribosomal RNA (497 nucleotides) under uncultured bacterium. RNAcentral's name for it is "partial 16S ribosomal RNA". It matches the Rfam family "Bacterial small subunit ribosomal RNA", at positions 28 to 507 of the family's 1533-position model. The record is from RNAcentral.
GAUGAACGCUGGCGGCGUGCCUAAUACAUGCAAGUCGAGCGAACAGACGAGGAGCUUGCUCCUCUGACGUUAGCGGCGGACGGGUGAGUAACACGUGGAUAACCUACCUAUAAGACUGGGAUAACUUCGGGAAACCGGAGCUAAUACCGGAUAAUAUAUUUAACCGCAUGGUUCAAUAGUGAAAGACGGUUUUGCUGUCACUUAUAGAUGGAUCCGCGCCGCAUUAGCUAGUUGGUAAGGUAACGGCUUACCAAGGCAACGAUGCGUAGCCGACCUGAGAGGGGGAUCGGCCACACUGGAACUGAGACACGGGCCAGACUCCUACGGGAGGCAGCGUGAGGGAAUCUUCCGCAAGGGGCGAAAUCCUGACGGAGCAACGCCGGGGGGGUGAUGAAGGUUUUCGGAUCUUAAAACUCUGUUAUUAGGGAAAAACAAAUGUGUAAGUAACUAUGCACGUCUUGACGGUACCUAAUCAGAAAGCCACGGCUAACUACGUG